This 253-nucleotide ribosomal RNA is filed under the name uncultured bacterium. RNAcentral's name for it is "partial 16S ribosomal RNA". It matches the Rfam family "Bacterial small subunit ribosomal RNA", at positions 524 to 776 of the family's 1533-position model. The record is from RNAcentral.
UACAGAGGUCUCAAGCGUUGUUCGGAUUCAUUGGGCGUAAAGGGUGCGUAGGCGGCGCGGUAAGUCGGGUGUGAAAUCUUGGAGCUUAGCUCCGAAACUGCAUUCGAUACUGCCGUGCUUGAGGACUGGAGAGGAGACUGGAAUUUACGGUGUAGCGGUGAAAUGCGUAGAUAUCGUAAGGAAGACCAGUGGCGAAGGCGGGUCUCUGGACAGUUCCUGACGCUGAGGCACGAAGGCCAGGGGAGCAAACGGG